Long non-coding RNA from Oreochromis aureus, 1671 nucleotides. The record is from Ensembl. Lineage: Eukaryota; Metazoa; Chordata; Actinopteri; Cichliformes; Cichlidae.
GCUAAUAUCGUUUAUUGCACAUAGUGUCAUGGUCCCGGGCCUUUUGACUCAGCAGUUUUUGUUUUUUAUUAUUAUUAUGAUCAUGAUCUUGUGUUCUAGUUUGCUCUGAUUGUGUACUGGGAUUUAGACUUUUUAGUUCUUAGAGCAUGGUGGCACGGUGGUUAGCACUGUUGCCGCACAGCAAAAAGGUCCUGAGUUCAAUUCCACCAUCAGGCCGGGGUCUUUCUGUGUGGAGUUUGCAUGUUCUCCCCAUGUUUGCGUGGGUUCUCUCCACGUACUCCGGCUUCCUCCCACUGUCCAAAGACAUGCAACUUGUGGGGAUAGGUUAAUUGGAUAAUCCAAAUUGCCACUAGGUGUAAAUGUGCGAGUGAAUGUGAGUGCGAAUGGUUGUCUGUCCCUGUGUGUUAGCCCUGCGACAGACUGGCGACCUGUCCAGGGCGUACCCCGCCUCUCGCCCUAUGACAGCUGGGAUAGGCUCCAGCGCCCCCCGCGACUCUGAAAAGGAUAAGCGGAAGCGAAUGGAUGGAUGGAUAGUUCUUAGAGUUUGGUUUCUGUGCUCCCUCAGUUUAGUGUCUGUAUUGUGCCUCUGAGUUCAGUCUAUGCAUUUCCUGUUUUAUGGUGAAAGUCCUUCUCUUAUGUCUGUGUGUUUACGCUUCCUCUGUCUUUUCAGGUCAGUUAAGUUCAGUUGUGUCUUCCUCCUGUUUGCCAUCCCGCGUCUCCCUCUGUGUGUAUUUAUAGUGUGUGUCCUCUUGUGUCUGUGUUAUUUCCCUGCGUCAUCCUGUGAAGUUUCCCCGAGUCUCCCUGCGUCUCCAUUCCAGGUUUCAGGUCUGUCUUUGGUUAGUUUUCCCAGUAUAGGUUUUCCUUAGGUUCUGUUUCAUACCCACUACGUUUCUAUUUGUUUCACCCACAGUAUUAAUAAACCUCACUCACUCCACAAACCGUGACACAUAGAGCCAUUUAACUGGUUCUUACUUAACAAAAAAAGAAAAAAAAAAAAAGUCUCUUCAUCAAAAUAUUUAAGAGAUACCCCGAAGACAGAGACAGAGGGUGCUGCAACACAAACAUUUCCCAACUUUGGGAUAAAUCCUUUUUCUUCUUAUAUCAGUCAUUCUGGAGCUGAUUUUUCUAUAUAUUUCAGGUAUAUUUCAGGUUCUCUAUUAAAUAAAAAGGAAUUAAAUUAAAUAUUAAAAAGCAAUCAAAAAAGUGUUUAUACAUCCUGCUGUCACACAGCAAACAUCAACCUGCACAGCAGACAUCAGUAUUGAAUAUAUGUAAGUAUCUAUCAAUAUUUUUCAACAGGACAAUGACCCCAAACACAGCUCCAGGCUCUUUAAGGGCUAUUGGACCAAGAAGGAGAGUGAUGGAGUGCUGCACCAGAUGGCUUGGCCUCCAGUCACGUGACCUAAACCCAACUGAGAUGUUUUGGGAUGAAAUGGACCUCAGAUUGAAGGCAAAAGGGCCAACAAGUGCUCAGCAUCUCUGGAAACUCUUUCAAGACCGUUGGAAAACCAUUUCAGGUGAAAACCUCAUGAAGCUCACUGAGAGAAUGCCAAAAAUGUGCAAAGCAGUAAUCAAAGCAAAGUUUUGAUGCCUUCAGUGAGAAUCUACAAUGUAAAUAGUCAUGAAAAUCAAGAAAAACCAUUAAAUGAGAAGGUGUGUCCAAACUUUUAU